Molecule: long non-coding RNA, 4367 nt
Filed under: Homo sapiens (human)
Lineage: Eukaryota; Metazoa; Chordata; Mammalia; Primates; Hominidae
Description: HSALNT0296115
Source: RNAcentral
AUCUCAGCCUGCCUCACUACUAUCUGUCAUCCUCAUUCUAGCUUAAAAUGCUUCUGUGGCCUCCCGUGGACCUGAGGAUGAGGACUAACUCUGCUCUGCAUGCAGGCCCUCCUGAGUCAGGCCUUCUUCUCCAGGCUGGUCGCCCACAGUCAUUCUGCCCUCCAGCCAUCCCAAGCCAGAAGGCCUCCUUCUCAGAACUACUGAUUUCACACUUCCCUGUGUUGUACUUUCCCCACCACCCCGACUAGGCAUGCUGCUCCCUCUAUCCUUGCAAACAGAACAUGGCUGUGCAGUCGGCGAGGACAUCCUUCCAGGCUUCCUGACCACAGGCAGCAGGCACCAUGCCACGAGGAGCCACAGACCAAGAGGCUGCCUGGGGCAGGGAAGCCGGUGUGCACCCCUCCCUGGCUAGUCAGCUUAGGCAGCAGUGCCAUGACAUGGCAGGAAGACUGGCCUAGAGGGAGAAGACCCUGGAAGAAGCCUGUCUCUGUCACUUCUUAGAAACGCCCACUGUUGCUUAGCCUCUGCAGAUGGGAAAUGGAUGCGAAAUGGCCUUACUUCUCAUGAGAUGACACUGGCACCACUGUGAGCCUGAGUGCCUCCUUAACUUUUGUGCCUGAGGUGCCUCUCUAGUCUCACCCUGGUCCUGGCGCUGCUGGGGAUAAGUAGAGGGAGUGGAGUCUUGGAUGAACUAGAGGCAUGUUGCACACAGCCGGAGAGGGAGAAACCGAGGAGAGAAAAGAGAAGAGAAAGUGAGUGGGAUGGAACAGCCUGCAGGAGUCUGGAUGGAAGGGGUCUUUGGUUUAGGUUGGUCUGCUUUUGAGGCAAAGACACACAUUCCCAGAGAUUUGAAGGAAGCCUGCAUAAAACAGAGACAAAACCACACUGCGCUCUCCUGAGGUAGAGAGGGGGAAACUGGAAGCUCAUGCAGGCAUUCACUCACUCAUCGAACACCUGGUUCCCAUCUUGUGCGCACUAAUGCAUCCAACAAACACUAAAGAGCAUCGAGCAUGUGUAAGCCUCAUGGGGUUAAGAACUCAAGCUGAUGGUCCCAGUAAUCAUGAUACUCCUGAGAGGUUCAGUCACAAUAUGAAUCUGUGCCCCAUAUGGGAAAGAAUUCCAGAAUAAGUACAACCUGGGUUAUUCUUCCAAAGAACCUGAGAGAAGGGCCCCUCUGAGCAAAGGCACAGCAAGUGAUGAAUGCUGAAGGAGCAGACGUGCUGUCGGCUGCAGGUCCUGCCAACUGUAGCCUGUUCAGCAGUGCAGAGGGAGAUGUGAACAGGUGGCCGGACGCAAAAGAUCCCAGUACUGGAGGGAAAAGCCUGGGUCCUUCUCAUCUUGUACACUCUGUCAGUAGUCACUGUUAUCACGGUCGAUAUGAAGUUGACGGACACAGAGCUAUUUGGUGGAUGGAUGCUUAUUUAAAUAAAGCCUUACUUCUUAGCCAAAUCUAAAAGAACAAACCUGGAAUUGAAAGAAAUCCCAAUGUGUUCAACCUUCCAGGUUUAGAGAAGGGCCACGUUUCAAUGUUAUUGCUUGUAUCUAGAUUGUGUAUUCACAUACAAAACAAGGACAGGUGUCUAAUCAUAUCUUACACUGAAGUUGUCCAGUGAAUGGGUCAGAUCACUGUCUAAGCAAGCGCAAGACCUCAAAUACCUGAGAGCGCCACCAGACGGCAGCCACAAGGCUCCCUCCCAGAUGGAGGCUUCUUUCCUGCUCUCUCCCUUAAGGAGCAGCUCCAGGUUGCCUCUCCACUCUCCCCAGCUAGAGUUCUUUUCUCUCUCUUUACCCUGUAGGUAAUGUGACCCCAUAGAACCCAGGUCCUUAAGAGGAGGCACAGACAAGUCACUGUGGCUGAAUAAGUGUUUGCAUUUAGCUUUGACUUGAAGCGAGAAGCAAUGUUUCACAGGGCAGAGCCUUGAGACUGAGGAGGCUACUGGCGGGGAGUCCCGUGGCUAGUGUGGCCAGUGCCUGUGGCAGGCCAAGAGGGCCAUGGAAAAGGGGAAGUAGGGAAGCAGCUCUCUGGUCUCCCCAGGAACCUCUCCUCAGUGUCUGCAGGGUCUGUCUCUGGAGAACGGUGGAAGUCCCCAUUCUUUCUUGGAGAUGGCCGCAGCCCACCAGUGUCCUGCAGAGCAGAAGCAGGUUCCUGCUGUGACAACUGAGGACUGGAAAUGGGGCUUUGGGACUCCAUGGGCUGACAUCAGGGAAACCAGUGAAUCUGGGCUAAAGGGCAGGGCCUCCUUUGAAAUCUCUACUUUAUGUUAUUUUUUGAGAUUUUAUUUUUCUUCAAUUUUCUUAGUAAUUGGUCAUUUGGAAAAAUCCCGGCUCAUUCUUUUCUAAACAAAGGGAAAAGGAUGUUUUCAGCCGUGCAAAUAGAGCUGGGUGGAGAGAAGAGGUGUUCUAGGCAGAGAGAAAAGUGCCUGAGAGGCCAGGCCAAUAGUGUGUGUGUGUGUGUGUGUGUGUGUGUGUGUGUGUGUGCGUGUCUGUGUGUAGGAUACGACUUCUCACCUAUCUGUCUUGAAGGACCUGUUUUUCUUUUUAAUUUCCAAUUCAUUGCAGGCCUAUACUUUUGUAGAGACAAUAGAAUAAAACUACUAGAAAAAUGAAAUUAAGAAGACAUAUAAAAUACAAGCCUUGAUUUUUAUGAUUGUAUUAAACAAACAUAAAAUUACUUUGUCAGAUUGCUCUAAAAGUUUCUAAAUUCUUGCUUCAAUUUUUCUACUUAACUUGUCACGGACUAGUAAAAAUCAAUUCACAGGCUGGCACGAAGCUGUGGACCACGCAUUGAAUAUCACUGGUGUGGGACAGGGAGGGGGAAAGAUAGGAAAACUCAUGAAGGAGGUGGACUAUGGGGACAUCUGGAAGGGCUGGUUCCUCCCAAGUCUCCAUCAUCAGUUUUCCUUCAUGAGCUGUCUUGUCUAUGUUUUCACUUUUUACAAGGGGGCAUUAUUUUAUAGAGGGAGUGGCAAGGCCUUGGGUUCUGCUGGUACACCCUGAGUGACCAGUGAGAACGUUGAGCUUCCAGAUUACCUGGCUUGUGCUUCUCAGUCCUCCCAGGGGGGUCUCUGAUUAUUGACAAAUGGGAGGGGCCCUGGGGUAUUCUGGACAUGGACUGGACAUCUAUGAGAGAGAUGAAGAGGAGGAUGAGGAAGAGAAAGAUGAGGAUGGGGAGGGGUUGGAUGUACUCCGAUGAAGUUUGUAUCUUGUAGGUAGACCAGUGCUUUUUAAACUUUAAACUUUAAUGGGUAUACACAUUGCCUGCAGAUGUUAUUGAGAUGCAGGUUCUGAUUCAGCAGGUCUGGAGUUGAGUUUGAGCAUCUGUGUUUCUAACAAGCUCCAAGGGGAUGUCAACACAGCUGGUCCAGGGGAGAUGCUAGAUGCCUUCAGCUCCAUGGUGCCAGGAGAUCCCUGGUAACACUAAUGUCUCCUUCGUCAGCCAGGUGGGUGGGGUCUGAUGCACUCCAGCAUCUGUAAGCUGAACCUUACGUUCUCCGCUUCCAGAGCAGGGACCUAUGAAGCUGGAGCCAGGGCCUCAUAGGAACAAGUAUAACCAAUCCUUUAUUGACCACCCUUAGUCAUCAAGGAGUAUGGACUCUUUGAACAAACCAAAUCAAACUAUCAGGUACUGCAAAUCGUUGAUAUUGAUGAACAAUAUGAAACCAAUUGAUAGACCUCUAUUAACAAAAAACUAGAUGCUACAAUCAUAUAUCUGUUUAAACAAGUAAGAGGUAACCGAGUUUUCUGAUGUACUCCACAAACAAGGGCUUUGGGCAAGCCUCAGUUCUGUCUUUGGUAAACUGGAAGAAAUUUGAACAGGAAUGGGGCUGUGUGGAAAGGCAGAGCUCUCAGUGCCUGUGGGGCUCUGGCUCUGGUGUCAAGGAUUCUAUGACAUUGUCUGGGCCAGGCGCUUUUCUGGCUGACCUUGGUCUUGCUGAACCUCUGAGAGGCUCCUCAGCCCUGUGGUCACUCAUGGGCUCACCAGAAGCUUGGAAGCUGGAAAUGCAUUCAGAGCUGCCCUGGGCUUAGCCCUCUGGGGUGUGGAGUGAUGCUCUUUCUUUUCUUUUUUUAGUUUGAGAGGUGGGGCAUAUCCAUUAUAUAAAACCCUUAAUUAAAAAAAAUUUUUACUAUCGUAUCAUUUUUUCCUAAGAAGAACAAAUUAUUCAUUUAGUAUUUCAAACACAUGUAAGAAGGAAAUGACAGGUUUCUUCCACCCACAUGGGGGCUUUCACUGAUAAGCUCACGGACAGUCCUGGCAGUACCAUGGGCUGUUAUUGUCAUUGGACCAUACUGUAUUUAGCACUCACUAGAAAUAGCAUGCAGGUGAUAGUAUCAACAGCUAUAGCACUACAGGUAAAUGUUAAAAAAAA